Molecule: long non-coding RNA, 695 nt
Organism: Panicum virgatum (switchgrass)
Lineage: Eukaryota; Viridiplantae; Streptophyta; Magnoliopsida; Poales; Poaceae
Exons: 3
Source: RefSeq, a predicted model, not a curated record
UUGGAGACCCCGACGGGCUAGCCGAUCCGCUGUCCAGCACCUAUUGAGCAUGGCCAACCAGAGAAAUAUCUUGCACCGAAGGGGCGCCCAAGACUUCCAUAGGAGCUUGUACGGCUCGAAACCAGAAGAGCCCACAAAGAACCUAGCAUAAGCUAAUCGAGCGGAGUAAGUACCCGAGCUCUCCGGUGUCCAAAGAUGUUGGUCCGGCUGGUUCUCAAGCAACUGAACAUUCUCCAAGGUAUCCCAAAGCUCCAGGUAGUCCAAGAUUGCCGGCACCGACAACCCACCUGCAAUGUCGCCCACCCAUCGCAAAUCCUGCAUGGCCUCAUUAACGAUCUCGCAGUUCAAACAGGAAGGAAUGUUGUUCAUGGAAGUGAUAGUCCUGAUAACGGCAAGCGUGAAAUCGCUCUGUGGUUCAAAGAAGGCGAGCUCUGCCAAUGGGAAUCAGUUCAAACACCUUGGCUUGUAGAGUGAUAUCUGCUGAUGGCUGUGAGAUCUGUAUUGGAUGUGUUUGUUCAACUUUAGUCAUGGGGCCAUGUAUGGGCAUAUGAGUUUAGUUCGGUGUAGUAAAUUAGCUCAUCAGGUCUGCAGUUUCGUUAUAUAUCACUCUUCAUCGGGAUGCCCUUUUUGUAAUAUUGAACAUCUAUGCAACUGAAACAUUUCAUCAGUUAUUCUGGAGAUUUUUUUUCCUCCCA